UACGUAGGGUGCGAGCGUUAAUCGGAAUUACUGGGCGUAAAGCGUGCGCAGGCGGUUUGCUAAGACAGGUGUGAAAUCCCCGGGCUUAACCUGGGAACUGCGCCUGUGACUGGCAGGCUAGAGUACGGUAGAGGGGGUGGAAUUCCUGGUGUAGCAGUGAAAUGCGUAGAUAUCAGGAGGAACACCGAUGGCGAAGGCAGCCCCCUGGGCCUGUACUGACGCUUAUGCACGAAAGCGUGGGGAGCAAACAGGAUUAGAUACCCGCGUAGU
RNAcentral lists this ribosomal RNA (270 nucleotides) under uncultured prokaryote. RNAcentral describes it as "partial 16S ribosomal RNA". It matches the Rfam family "Bacterial small subunit ribosomal RNA", at positions 524 to 794 of the family's 1533-position model. The record is from RNAcentral.